UCAGAAGGCGUCGUUCACAGAUGGAUAU
Molecule: non-coding RNA, 28 nt
Filed under: Rattus norvegicus (Norway rat)
Lineage: Eukaryota; Metazoa; Chordata; Mammalia; Rodentia; Muridae
Source: RNAcentral